This 404-nucleotide unclassified non-coding RNA is filed under the name soil metagenome. Its description in RNAcentral is "partial contains 5.8S ribosomal RNA, internal transcribed spacer 2, and large subunit ribosomal RNA". The stretch from base 1 to 122 matches the Rfam family "5.8S ribosomal RNA", at positions 35 to 154 of the family's 154-position model. The record is from RNAcentral.
GAUGAAGAACGUAGCAAAAUGCGAUACUUGGUGUGAAUUGCAGAAUCCCGUGAACCAUCGAGUUUUUGAACGCAAGUUGCGCCCGAAGCCUUUUGGCCGAGGGCACGUCUGCCUGGGCGUCACGCAUCGCGUCGCCCCCCACAACUCUCCGUAAAGGGAACUUGUGUUUUGGGGGCGGAUAUUGGUCUCCCGUGCUCAUGGCGUGGUUGGCCGAAAUAGGAGUCCCUCCGGUGGACGCACGAACUAGUGGUGGUCGUAAAACCCCUCGUCUUUUGUUUCGUGCCGUUAGUCGCGAGGGAAACUCUUUAAAAACCCAAAUGUGUCGUCUCUUGACGGCGCUUCGACCGCGACCCCAGGUCAGGCGGGACUACCCGCUGAGUUUAAGCAUAUCAAUAAGCGGAGGA